AGAACGAACGCUGGCGGCAGGCCUAACACAUGCAAGUCGAACGCCGUAGCAAUACGGAGUGGCAGACGGGUGAGUAACGCGUGGGAACAUACCCUUCGGUUCGGAAUAACUCAGGGAAACUUGAGCUAAUACCGGAUACGUCCGAGGUUUUAAUCGACCUUGGAGAAAGAUUUAUCGCCGGAGGAUUGGCCCGCGUCUGAUUAGCUUGUUGGUGAGGUAAUGGCUCACCAAGGCGACGAUCAGUAGCUGGUCUGAGAGGAUGAUCAGCCACAUUGGGACUGAGACACGGCCCAAACUCCUACGGGAGGCAGCAGUGGGGAAUAUUGGACAAUGGGCGAAAGCCUGAUCCAGCCAUGCCGCGUGAGUGAUGAAGGCCUUAGGGUUGUAAAGCUCUUUACCCGGGAAGAUAAUGACGGUACCGGGAGAAUAAGCCCGGCUAACUUCGUGCCAGCAGCCGC
Molecule: ribosomal RNA, 458 nt
Filed under: uncultured bacterium
Lineage: Bacteria
Description: SSU rRNA
Rfam family: Bacterial small subunit ribosomal RNA
Source: RNAcentral